This 400-nucleotide ribosomal RNA is filed under the name uncultured bacterium. RNAcentral describes it as "bacterial SSU rRNA". It matches the Rfam family "Bacterial small subunit ribosomal RNA", at positions 356 to 773 of the family's 1533-position model. The record is from RNAcentral.
AGGGAAUAUUGGACAAUGGGGGCAACCCUGAUCCAGCAAUACCGCGUGAGUGAAGAAGGCCUUCGGGUUGUAAAGCUCUUUUACCGGGGAAGAUAAUGACGGUACCCGGGGAAUAAGCUCCGGCUAACUUCGUGCCAGCAGCCGCGGUAAUACGAAGGGAGCUAGCGUUGUUCGGAAUUACUGGGCGUAAAGGGCGCGUAGGCGGUUUUGUAAGUCAGAUGUGAAAGCCCCGGGCUUAACCUGGGAACUGCAUUUGACACUGCAAGACUAGAGAUCGAGAGAGGAAAGUGGAAUUACGAGUGUAGAAGUGAAAUUCGUAGAUAUUCGUAGGAACACCGGUGGCGAAGGCGACUUUCUGGCUCGACCCUGACGCUAAAGCGCGAAAGCGUGGGGAGCAAAC